ACGGGUGAGUAACACGUGGGCAAUCUGCCCUGCACUCUGGGACAAGCCUUGGAAACGAGGUCUAAUACCGGAUAUUACCCCUGGGGGCAUCCCUGGGGGUGGAAAGCUCCGGCGGUGCAGGAUGAGCCCGCGGCCUAUCAGCUUGUUGGUGGGGUGAUGGCCUACCAAGGCGACGACGGGUAGCCGGCCUGAGAGGGCGACCGGCCACACUGGGACUGAGACACGGCCCAGACUCCUACGGGAGGCAGCAGUGGGGAAUAUUGCACAAUGGGCGAAAGCCUGAUGCAGCGACGCCGCGUGAGGGAUGAAGGCCUUCGGGUUGUAAACCUCUUUCAGCAGGGAAGAAGCGCAAGUGACGGUACCUGCAGAAGAAGCACCGGCUAACUACGUGCCAGCAGCCGCGGUAAUACGUAGGGUGCGAGCGUUGUCCGGAAUUAUUGGGCGUAAAGAGCUCGUAGGCGGCUUGUCGCGUCGGAUGUGAAAGCCCGGGGCUUAACCCCGGGUCUGCAUUCGAUACGGGCAGGCUAGAGUGUGGUAGGGGAGAUCGGAAUUCCUGGUGUAGCGGUGAAAUGCGCAGAUAUCAGGAGGAACACCGGUGGCGAAGGCGGAUCUCUGGGCCAUUACUGACGCUGAGGAGCGAA
Molecule: ribosomal RNA, 641 nt
Filed under: Streptacidiphilus sp. I14A-00868
Lineage: Bacteria; Bacillati; Actinomycetota; Actinomycetes; Kitasatosporales; Streptomycetaceae
Description: bacterial SSU rRNA
Rfam family: Bacterial small subunit ribosomal RNA
Source: RNAcentral